AUUGAACGCUGGCGGCAGGCCUAACACAUGCAAGUCGAGCGGAUGAAGGGAGCUUGCUCCUGGAUUCAGCGGCGGACGGGUGAGUAAUUCCUAGGAAUCUGCCUGGUAGUGGGGGAUAACGUCCUGAAACGGGCGCUAAUGCCGCAUACGUCCUGAGGGAGAAAGUGGGGGAUCUUCGGACCUCACGCUAUCCUGUGGGCCUAGGUCGGAUUAGCUAGUUGGUGGGGUAAAGGCCUACCAAGGCGACGAUCCGUAACUGGUCUGAGAGGAUGAUCAGUCACACUGGAACUGAGACACGGUCCAGACUCCUAAGGGAGGCCGCAGUGGGGAAUAUUGGACAAUGGGCGAAAGCCUGAUCCAGCCAUGCCGCGUGUGUGAAGAAGGUCUUCGGAUUGUAAAGCACUUUAAGUUGGGGGGAAGGGCAGUAAGUUAAUACCUUGCUGUUUUGACGUUACCAACAGAAUAAGCACCGGCUAACUUCGUG
This 484-nucleotide ribosomal RNA is filed under the name uncultured bacterium. RNAcentral describes it as "partial 16S ribosomal RNA". It matches the Rfam family "Bacterial small subunit ribosomal RNA", at positions 30 to 507 of the family's 1533-position model. The record is from RNAcentral.